Molecule: small RNA, 743 nt
Filed under: Pongo abelii (Sumatran orangutan)
Lineage: Eukaryota; Metazoa; Chordata; Mammalia; Primates; Hominidae
Description: processed transcript
Source: RNAcentral
CCACGUGGUGGACCGUGGAGGCGUGGCAGACUAUGCCUGCAGCUGUCCCCUGGGCUUCUCUGGGCCCCUCUGCCUGACACCCCUGGACAACGCCUGCCUCACCAACCCCUGCCGCAAUGGGGGCACCUGCGACCUGCUCACACUGAUGGAGUACAAGUGCCGCUGCCCGCCCGGCUGGUCAGGGAAAUCGUGCCAGCAGGCUGACCCGUGCGCCUCCAACCCCUGCACCAACGGUGGCCAGUGCCUGCCCUUCGAGGCCUCCUACAUCUGCCACUGCCCACCCAGCUUCCACGGCCCCACCUGCCGGCAGGAUGUCAACGAGUGCGGCCAGAACCCCGGGCUUUGCCGCCAUGGAGGCACCUGCCACAACGAGGUCGGCUCCUACCGCUGCGUCUGCCGCGCCACCCACACCGGCCCCAACUGCGAGCGGCCCUAUGUGCCCUGCAGCCCCUCGCCCUGCCAGAACGGGGGCACCUGCCGCCCCACGGGCGACGUCACCCACGAGUGUGCCUGCCUGCCAGGUAGUGCUGCCCGCUGGCCAGGGUGCACGAGCCCCUCCCCGGCUGCCAGGCCCAGGGGGUGGGAACGGGGCACCUGGUAUAGGGGCAGCCCUGGGAGGGCCCAUGGCGGGGAGUUGGGAAGGCGGGAUGGCGAGUUCCCCAGACUGCGUGUGGUGUUGGGGGGAUGCGUCUGGAGCGGGGUGUGCGCUGGGAGGAGGCCUGCACAGGGUCCAGGUGCCAGCC